Molecule: ribosomal RNA, 460 nt
Filed under: uncultured bacterium
Lineage: Bacteria
Description: partial 16S ribosomal RNA
Rfam family: Bacterial small subunit ribosomal RNA
Source: RNAcentral
CCUACGGGUGGCAGCAGUGAGGAAUAUUGGUCAAUGGGCGAGAGCCUGAACCAGCCAAGUCGCGUGAAGGAUGACGGCCCUACGGGUUGUAAACUUCUUUUGUCAGGGAGCAAUUGAGUCCACGUGUGGGCUUAGCGAGAGUACCUGAAGAAAAAGAAUCGGCUAACUCCGUGCCAGCAGCCGCGGUAAUACGGAGGAUGCGAGCGUUAUCCGGAUUGAUUGGGUUUAAGGGGUGCGUAGGCGGACUAUCAAGUCAGCGGUAAAUAUUCGGGGCUCAACCCCGUCGUGCCGUUGAAACUGAUGUUCUUGAGUGGGCGAGAGGUAUGCGGAAUGCGUGGUGUAGCGGUGAAAUGCAUAGAUAUCGCGCAGAACUCCGAUUGCGAAGGCAGCAUACCGGCGCACAACUGACGCUGAGGCACGAAAGCGUGGGUAUCGAACAGGAUUAGAUACCCCGGUAGUC